Molecule: non-coding RNA, 551 nt
Organism: Aegilops tauschii subsp. strangulata
Lineage: Eukaryota; Viridiplantae; Streptophyta; Magnoliopsida; Poales; Poaceae
Source: RefSeq, a predicted model, not a curated record
UAGAGUUGGUGGAAAGUGAGGCGAGACUACCAACUUUUGUUUUAGAAAUAGAGAUCCAGCACUUGCGUGAAACACGAAUGCCUUAGGUGACACCAGAAGGAAAGGAAUAUCUUAGUUGUUUCUUCAUGGCUCCUAUCGGAAGCAACACUCGUCGGGCCUUGUGUUUGGUGUCUCUCCUGCUCAUGUCUACCAGCCUUUCGUCCUGUCAUGCAGGAGGUACAACAGAUGGUUCGUCGAACUUGUGCGUAACCCAGAAAGCCUGCGCACCGAAGUGGUCCAUAGAACCCUGGGGUAACUAUGCCUGCAAGUUUUACUGCGGAGUUCGAGGUUAUGAUGAGGAUAGGAGCCACUGCACACCAAACGGUAAAGGAUUUUGCUGCUGCGAAAAGUAAUGUAAGCUGUUUUUUUCUUUGCGACAUGAUUAAGCCUAGUUUUCAAUGUCGUGGAUUAUUGAAAGGACCCAUAUGCAUCAAGAUUUUAAUUGAGGGAAUGGUUGUAUCCUAGAAAACAAACAUUGUAAUGGUUGAUUUAUAUACUUUUCAUACCCGUCC